Molecule: ribosomal RNA, 303 nt
Filed under: uncultured bacterium
Lineage: Bacteria
Description: partial 16S ribosomal RNA
Rfam family: Bacterial small subunit ribosomal RNA
Source: RNAcentral
AGCAGUAGCCACGGUAAUACGAAGGGGGCUAGCGUUGUUCGGAUUUACUGGGCGUAAAGCGCAGGUAGGCGGACUUUUAAGUCAGGGGUGAAAUCCCGGGGCUCAACCCCGGAACUGCCUUUGAUACUGGAAGUCUUGAGUAUGGUAGAGGUGAGUGGAAUUCCGAGUGUAGAGGUGAAAUUCGUAGAUAUUCGGAGGAACACCAGUGGCGAAGGCGGCUCACUGGACCAUUACUGACGCUGAGGUGCGAAAGCGUGGGGAGCAAACAGGAUUAGAUACCCCCGUAGUCCCUGUCUCUUAUAC